AACUUUCUGAAUCCGUGUAGAGAUUUCGUUAGACACCAACUCAUUAGGGCUGAGCAAAUUUCUAAGAUAAGUGAAGUU
Molecule: non-coding RNA, 78 nt
Organism: Schistosoma mattheei
Lineage: Eukaryota; Metazoa; Platyhelminthes; Trematoda; Strigeidida; Schistosomatidae
Source: Rfam